RNAcentral lists this ribosomal RNA (274 nucleotides) under uncultured Lachnospiraceae bacterium. RNAcentral describes it as "partial 16S ribosomal RNA". It matches the Rfam family "Bacterial small subunit ribosomal RNA", at positions 72 to 339 of the family's 1533-position model. Lineage: Bacteria; Bacillati; Bacillota; Clostridia; Lachnospirales; Lachnospiraceae. The record is from RNAcentral.
AUUUCUUCGGAAUGAAGUUUUGGUGACUGAGUGGCGGACGGGUGAGUAACGCGUGGGUAACCUGCCUCACACAGGGGGAUAACAGCUGGAAACGGCUGCUAAUACCGCAUAAGCGCACGAAGAGACAUCUCCUAGUGUGAAAAACUCCGGUGGUACAGGAUGGGCCCGCGUCUGAUUAGCUGGUUGGCAGGGUAACGGCCUACCAAGGCAAUGAUCAGUAGCCGGUCUGAGAGGAUGAACGGCCACAUUGGAACUGAGACACGGUCCAAACUCC